Leptidea sinapis is the source of this 158-nucleotide long non-coding RNA. RefSeq lists it as uncharacterized. The record is from RefSeq and is a predicted model, not a curated record. The transcript is spliced from 2 exons. Lineage: Eukaryota; Metazoa; Arthropoda; Insecta; Lepidoptera; Pieridae.
UGACGUGUGCAAAUUUGCUCGUAAGGAGUGCAGAUCUGGAGGGCGUGCAUAUGCAAUGACUGUAGUAUCGCUCCAGAGGUACACCGGUAUACGCCAGCAUGUCGAUGUUUGGAGUCAAUAUUUGAUUUGACCCGUGAAAACUAACAUCAUCCCAUCCC